CGGAAGAGUAAUUAGUAUUUUGACAGAGAUCAAUUCAAUAUACUAGUGAAUAAGAAAUCUACAGAAUUUAAUUGCUUUACGAAUGCUUCAUUUAUGCAUUUCCAUGACUAAAUUUUAAAGAAGAUUAACCUUCUGUUUUUUAUUUCUUUCUGCCAAAACACUAUUCCAAGUUUUCAUUUUAAAUUAUAUAUUUUCAUACAUAUGGUAGGGAUGAAAAGAAGUUCAUCUUGGGAUUUGUUUCUGAGUGACGGGUUAUUAAUAUUUUACAAAUCAUGUGAAGUACUAUCUAAUUAUUGUUUCUCUCUUGUACCACUACGUGUCUCUUUGUCAUGAAGUUCUUGCUUCCUGUUGGGUUUUAACUUCGUCAAGAGAAAGAUGUUGCUUUUUUGGUGCGUGUGAAAUGUGUUUUAAUCCUCAGUGUCAUGUAUAUAACAAGUAUAUAUCUAACGUUAAGCUUCCCAUAUUUGUAAUUUGAGUCUGUUGGAAAAAUA
RNAcentral lists this long non-coding RNA (491 nucleotides) under Brassica napus (rape). RNAcentral describes it as "long non-coding RNA (BNAP_LNC014571)". Lineage: Eukaryota; Viridiplantae; Streptophyta; Magnoliopsida; Brassicales; Brassicaceae. The record is from RNAcentral.